Molecule: ribosomal RNA, 347 nt
Filed under: uncultured bacterium
Lineage: Bacteria
Description: bacterial SSU rRNA
Rfam family: Bacterial small subunit ribosomal RNA
Source: RNAcentral
ACGCCAGACUCCUACGGGAGGCAGCAGUGGGGGAUAUUGCACAAUGGGGGAAACCCUGAUGCAGCGACGCCGCGUGAGUGAAGAUGUCUUUCGGUAUGUAAAGCUCUAUCAGCAGGGAAGAAAAAAGACGGUACCUGACUAAGAAGCCCCGGCUAACUACGUGCCAGCAGCCGCGGUAAUACGUAGGGGGCAAGCGUUACCCGGAUUUACUGGGUGUAAAGGGAGCGUAGACGGCAAUACAAGUCGGAAGUGAAAUUCCCGGGCUUAACCUGGGAACUGCUUUGGAAACGGUAUGGCUGGAGUGUUGGAGAGGUAAGCGGAAUUCCUAGUGUAGCGGUGAAAUGCGU